Molecule: long non-coding RNA, 413 nt
Organism: Anopheles merus
Lineage: Eukaryota; Metazoa; Arthropoda; Insecta; Diptera; Culicidae
Exons: 3
Source: RefSeq, a predicted model, not a curated record
UGCUCCAUUUGUUAGCUCUUGUCGAAAAGAUGGCAAUGGAGAAUUUUUACCUCAACAACUCUCUUCGACCGAUCUCUGUGUUCUGGUUUUAACGAGUUAAAAAAAAGAUUAUACUACUUUGAGUGCACAAUGAAGUAAAACAAAGCUCAACCAGGCCACGCAUCAAGCCUGCUGUACGCGUUUUCAUCGUAUUUUCAGAAACGUCAUCGCUCUUUUCUCCUCAGCCGGUGCAUCGUCAUCGUGUGCAACGAUGAUGUUGGUGCGUCAAGAAUCGGUAUAUGAUUGGCACAUUUAUGGAAAAGAGAGUAAUGGUAUGCUGGAACCAUAAUGGUGUUUCACUUUGUUCUAUUUUUAUACGGAUCGCUCAUAGGGACAGCGAUUUAAACUUAGUUAGGGUAUUAUUUGAUUGUUAA